RNAcentral lists this unclassified non-coding RNA (276 nucleotides) under uncultured fungus. Its description in RNAcentral is "partial contains small subunit ribosomal RNA, internal transcribed spacer 1, and 5.8S ribosomal RNA". The stretch from base 1 to 73 matches the Rfam family "Eukaryotic small subunit ribosomal RNA", at positions 1759 to 1831 of the family's 1831-position model. The record is from RNAcentral. Lineage: Eukaryota; Fungi.
GCAAACUUGGUCAUUUAGAGGAAGUACAAGUCGUAACAAGGUUUCCGUAGGUGAACCUGCGGAAGGAUCAUUAACAAAUCGAUUUUGUACGAAGAUGAAGAUAUGAUGUAGUUUUCGUACAAAUAUAUAUGUGCGCCAGCAUAUCAUGUGUGCUGGAAUGCAACAUUCAUGAAUAUAUUGUAUAUGUGUGUGUGUGUGUGUGUGGCACAUUUUCUAAAUGUAAAACAUACUUUUAACAAUGGAUCUCUUGGCUCUUGCAUCGAUGAAGAACGCAGC